Molecule: ribosomal RNA, 253 nt
Filed under: uncultured bacterium
Lineage: Bacteria
Description: partial 16S ribosomal RNA
Rfam family: Bacterial small subunit ribosomal RNA
Source: RNAcentral
UACGUAGGGGGCUAGCGUUGUUCGGAAUCACUGGGCGUAAAGGGCGCGUAGGCGGCCGAUCAAGUCGGGGGUGAAAGCCUGUGGCUCAACCACAGAAUUGCCUUCGAUACUGUCUGGCUUGAGACCGGAAGAGGUAAGUGGAACUGCGAGUGUAGAGGUGAAAUUCGUAGAUAUUCGCAAGAACACCAGUGGCGAAGGCGGCUUACUGGUCCGGUUCUGACGCUGAGGCGCGAAAGCGUGGGGAGCAAACAGG